GACGAACGCUGGCGGCGUGCCUAAUACAUGCAAGUAGAACGCUGAAGGAGGAGCUUGCUUCUCUGGAUGAGUUGCGAACGGGUGAGUAACGCGUAGGUAACCUGCCUGGUAGCGGGGGAUAACUAUUGGAAACGAUAGCUAAUACCGCAUAAGAGUAGAUGUUGCAUGACAUUUGCUUAAAAGGUGCAAUUGCAUCACUACCAGAUGGACCUGCGUUGUAUUAGCUAGUUGGUGAGGUAACGGCUCACCAAGGCGACGAUACAUAGCCGACCUGAGAGGGUGAUCGGCCACACUGGGACUGAGACACGGCCCAGACUCCUACGGGAGGCAGCAGUAGGGAAUCUUCGGCAAUGGACGGAAGUCUGACCGAGCAACGCCGCGUGAGUGAAGAAGGUUUUCGGAUCGUAAAGCUCUGUUGUAAGAGAAGAACGAGUGUGAGAGUGGAAAGUUCACACUGUGACGGAUCUACUAGAAAGGACG
This 480-nucleotide ribosomal RNA is filed under the name Streptococcus mitis. RNAcentral's name for it is "bacterial SSU rRNA". It matches the Rfam family "Bacterial small subunit ribosomal RNA", at positions 28 to 494 of the family's 1533-position model. The record is from RNAcentral. Lineage: Bacteria; Bacillati; Bacillota; Bacilli; Lactobacillales; Streptococcaceae.